Molecule: long non-coding RNA, 894 nt
Filed under: Physcomitrium patens
Lineage: Eukaryota; Viridiplantae; Streptophyta; Bryopsida; Funariales; Funariaceae
Description: long non-coding RNA (PPAT_LNC013785)
Source: RNAcentral
AACUUUAGGGUGAUAACACUGGAGCUCAAAAAUCACAGCAUUGACAGCAUUCACGUGAAAUACCCUUCUAAUCAGUCCUGUUCAUCAAUAGCAUAUUAUCCCAGACGAGAUGGCACACCCGCAAGCAUAGACGAUAGAAGACUGUUCAGGUAGGUAACAUAUAAGCCGCACCUUCAUCGCCAUAUAGGGAUUUCUGAGGCCGACGGUUACCUCCAUGCUCUUCCUCGCGCUGCGACGGUCGGCCACCGUACUCAGAUUCCUCGGACUCAUACUUGGAAGGUCGGGGCCUGGAAGGGCGAGACUCUGAGUCUCCAUCAUCAUAUUGUGAAGGACGAGGUUUAGCUGGACGAGAUUCUGAGUCUUCAUCAUCAUAGUGUGAAGGACGAGGUUUAGCUGGACGAGAUUCUGAGUUUUCAUCAUCGUAGUGCGAAGGACGAGGUUUAGCUGGACGAGAUUCUGAGUCUUCGUUAUCAUAUUGUGAAGGACGAGGUUUUGCUGGACGAGAUUCUGAGUCUUCGUCAUCAUGUCGUGAAGGACGGGGCUUGGUUGGCCGAGACUCAGACUCUUCAUCAUCGUACUUCGAGGGUCGGGGUUUGGAAGGAUGAUAGUCUUCGUCCUCACCACUUGACUGACCACGACCUAGAUAAAAGCACCCAAUUGCGAGUUAGGGAUGGCGUGUCUCAACAAUCCUGUAGUUAUUAAGGUCAUCAACAUGUUAAUUAUUAAAACACAGAAAUCAUGCACAGUUCAGCCAUUACACCCGAUAAGUUCCCAGUCAUAGCUGCUUCUUUACGGAUAUUGCAGUACAAGCAUCUAAUUUUCAAUACCAGAGCUACUAUAUACACCGAUUCGAAAUGGUGUAAAAGGAAUAGCUCGACUAAGAUUGUGACCCAA